RNAcentral lists this small RNA (974 nucleotides) under Raffaelea sp. PL1001. RNAcentral's name for it is "SSU rRNA". It matches the Rfam family "Eukaryotic small subunit ribosomal RNA", at positions 87 to 1070 of the family's 1831-position model. The record is from RNAcentral. Lineage: Eukaryota; Fungi; Ascomycota; Sordariomycetes; Ophiostomatales; Ophiostomataceae.
CUGCGAAUGGCUCAUUAAAUCAGUUAUCGUCUAUUUGAUAGUACCUUACUACUUGGAUAACCGUGGUAAUUCUAGAGCUAAUACAUGCUGAAAACCCCGACUUCGGAAGGGAUGUAUUUGUUAGAUUAAAAGCCAAUGCCCUCCGGGGCCUCCUGGUGAUUCAUGACAACUUCUCGAAUCGCACGGCCUUGCGCCGGCGAUGGUUCAUUCAAAUUUCUGCCCUAUCAACUUUCGACGGCUGGGUCUUGGCCAGCCGUGGUGACAACGGGUAACGGAGGGUUAGGGCUCGACCCCGGAGAAGGAGCCUGAGAAACGGCUACUACAUCCAAGGAAGGCAGCAGGCGCGCAAAUUACCCAAUCCCGACACGGGGAGGUAGUGACAAUAAAUACUGAUACAGGGCUCUUUUGGGUCUUGUAAUUGGAAUGAGUACAAUUUAAUUCCCUUAACGAGGAACAAUUGGAGGGCAAGUCUGGUGCCAGCAGCCGCGGUAAUUCCAGCUCCAAUAGCGUAUAUUAAAGUUGUUGCAGUUAAAAAGCUCGUAGUUGAACCUUGGGCCUGGCUGGCCGGUCCGCCUCACCGCGUGCACUGGUCCGGCCGGGCCUUUCCCUCUGGGGAGCCGCAUGCCCUUCGCUGGGCGUGCCGGGGAACCAGGACGUUUACUUUGAAAAAAUUAGAGUGUUCAAAGCAGGCUUAUGCUCGGAUACAUUAGCAUGGAAUAAUGGAAUAGGACGCGCGGUUCUAUUUUGUUGGUUUCUAGGACCGCCGUAAUGAUCAAUAGGGACAGUCGGGGGCAUCAGUAUUCCGUUGUCAGAGGUGAAAUUCUUGGAUUUACGGAAGACUAACUACUGCGAAAGCAUUUGCCAAGGAUGUUUUCAUUAAUCAGGAACGAAAGUUAGGGGAUCGAAGACGAUCAGAUACCGUCGUAGUCUUAACCAUAAACUAUGCCGACUAGGGAUCGGACGGUGUUAUCUUU